AGGACGAACGCUGGCGGCGUGCUUAACACAUGCAAGUCGAACGAUGAAGCCUAGCUUGCUAGGUGGAUUAGUGGCGAACGGGUGAGUAAUACGUGAGUAACCUACCUUUAACUCUGGGAUAAGCCUGGGAAACUGGGUCUAAUACCGGAUACGACCAAUCUCCGCAUGGGGUGUUGGUGGAAAGCGUUAUGUAGUGGUUAUAGAUGGGCUCACGGCCUAUCAGCUUGUUGGUGAGGUAACGGCUCACCAAGGCGGCGACGGGUAGCCGGCCUGAGAGGGUGACCGGCCACACUGGGACUGAGACACGGCCCAGACUCCUACGGGAGGCAGCAGUGGGGAAUAUGCACAAUGGGCGCAAGCCUGAUGCAGCGACGCCGCGUGGAGGGAUGACGGCCUUCGGUUGUAAACCUCUGUUAGCGAGGAAGAAGGAGAGACUCGACGGUACCUGCAGAGAAGCGACCGGCUAACGUACGU
Molecule: ribosomal RNA, 474 nt
Filed under: uncultured soil bacterium
Lineage: Bacteria
Description: bacterial SSU rRNA
Rfam family: Bacterial small subunit ribosomal RNA
Source: RNAcentral